CCCCCUCGGCUGCCUGCCGGGCUGCGCACCUGGGCGCGCGGCGCUGGAAGCCUCGCGGGUCGCCGCGCCAUGGCCUUCACCUUCGCCGCCUUCUGCUACAUGCUGGCCCUCGUGCUGUGCGCCGCGCUCAUCUUCUUCGCCAUCUGGCACCAGGGAAGCCGGGCCAGGCCGUGUAGGGAAUCGAGCCUUGACGUUGGCUGCUGUUGAGGAGAAGUGGAACUUUACCCACUUUAGAAUAAAAGGGUUGCAGGUCACAGUCCAGUUCCCCAGGCUUAGUCCUGCUUCCCUCGCCCGGCCGCGCUUUCGCUCAGAAACAGCCAGACUCACGGCACUGAUUUGCCUCCUGAGCCUUGAGAAGGGAAAUUGCAGUCGUACGGACUUCCGAGUGCACGUGUGUGUGGGUGUUGGCUGCACGGUGCGACCACCUUUGAGUGCAUUUGUCACGCUUGGAAGGAGCAGAAUAACACUGCGUUUCUCACCGGUGGCUCCGCACACCUUCUGUGCCUGGGCUCUUACCUCCAUGUGGCAAUUUGGUCCUCAGAACGGAUGUUUUUCAGAAGAGGAAGUUGCGGAUCACAGAGGUUAUAACACGAGCACAGCAGCACAGCGCCUGGCAUGUGAGACUCCCGCCCCAGCCCCUCUUCCAGCAGCAGUCGCUGUUUCUGGAUUCUUUGACUUUGAUGAUGGUCUCUAUCCAAAGGGUUACUUAUUUUCUAUAUAUUUUUGUGUUGGAAUUUCUGAUUGGAGUUAUAUGACUAAUCAGACUGGAAACAUUGCAUAUUCUUUUUAAAAAGAGGGAUUUCUGUUUCUUUUUUAAAAGUAGGCUUCUGUUUGUAAAAUGAUGCAGGUUCAUUGCUAUGCUUUUGGAAAAUGCAAUGCCACAUAAUGAAAGGAAAUCAGUCUUACCUUCCGGAGGGUCUGGGUGCCUGGGUGCACUUUAGAACAUGGAGCGUGGCUGUGCAUGAGGAGAGGAGAGGGCUGCAGAGGUCUGACUCGAUUCAGGGCCGGUGUGCAGGAGCAGCGUCUGCUCUGCUGGGAGCUGCGGCCGGAGUGGACCUGGUGCCACCAUCUCCUUAGCAGCUGGGACCAGCCCAUGCUGUGGAAGAUCAAACUCAGGCUGUUCAUAUUUAAGGGGCUGGGUUUUUAAGGUUUUUGUAUCUAGAGUCACACUGAGUUCUGGCAGUUUACAAAUAAAACUCAUGUCCAGUUAAAGAUUCCAUGUGCACCUCCUCUUGAAAUUGCCUUGGACAGCAGCGUUUGCCACUGGGGCAGUCUUCAUGGUGAGGAAUCUGUCUCACAGAGGGCUGCUGGGAACCUGGGGAGCAUGCAGGUCCUCAGGGAGCCCCCGAGGAGACCAGUGUCAGG
This 1365-nucleotide long non-coding RNA is filed under the name Heterocephalus glaber (naked mole-rat). Its description in RNAcentral is "lncRNA (ENSHGLG00100041218.1)". Lineage: Eukaryota; Metazoa; Chordata; Mammalia; Rodentia; Bathyergidae. The record is from RNAcentral.